UUUAUUGGAGAGUUUGAUCCUGGCUCAGGAUGAACGCUGGCGGCGUGCCUAAUACAUGCAAGUCGAGCGAAUGGAUUAAGAGCUUGCUCUUAUGAAGUUAGCGGCGGACGGGUGAGUAACACGUGGGUAACCUGCCCAUAAGACUGGGAUAACUCCGGGAAACCGGGGCUAAUACCGGAUAACAUUUUGAACCGCAUGGUUCGAAAUUGAAAGGCGGCUUCGGCUGUCACUUAUGGAUGGACCCGCGUCGCAUUAGCUAGUUGGUGCGG
This 269-nucleotide ribosomal RNA is filed under the name Bacillus anthracis (anthrax bacterium). Its description in RNAcentral is "partial 16S ribosomal RNA". It matches the Rfam family "Bacterial small subunit ribosomal RNA", at positions 1 to 257 of the family's 1533-position model. The record is from RNAcentral. Lineage: Bacteria; Bacillati; Bacillota; Bacilli; Caryophanales; Bacillaceae.